UAAAAGUUUUAUCCUGGCUAAUAUUUCUUGUUUUUAAGUUGAAGGUACAUGAUAGUGUUGGCGUGACAAAAGGCUCAUUUUAUUUAAUAUAGGGUUAGUUAGUGAAAGGAGAGUGAUCAAUAAAAAGUUAAUUCUCAGUAUUUAGUGCUAAUUUAUAAAUGCAAAUUGGAAUUGGUAAUCUUAAUUUUUUUUUAUCUGGCUAAAAUUUGUGCCAGCAGCCGCGGUUAUACUGAGAGGUAGAUUAAGAAAAGUUUGGUUAAAAAUAAUUAGGUGAUAAUUAGCUUAAAAUUAUUUAUAGAUUCUUGUUAAUAAAGGGUGAAAUCGGUUUUUUAAGAUAAGAAGUGUUGAAGAUGUAAAGCUUAAAUUGAGGUUGUUAAGUUAAAGGUAUGGACCAGGAUUAGAUACCCUGUUACACUUUAUUUAAAAUUUAUGGUACCUGGGUAAUAAACAGUUAUUGUCUUGAAACUCAAAGGAUUUGGCGGUAAUUUAGUCUAUUUAGAGGAACCUGUCCUAUAAUCGAUAAACCACGAAGUAUCUUACCUUAUUUAGUAGAGAUCAGUUUGUAUACCGUCAUUAUUAGAUAACUUUAAUAAAAACUAGUUGUUGUAAUAAUUUUUAAUAUAUUAGAUCAAGGUGCAGCCAAUAAUAAGGUAGAGAUGGGUUACAAUAAAAUAAAUGUAUAACGGAUUAAUAAAUGAAAUUUUUUUUUAUGAAGGUGGAUUUAAUAGUAAGAAUGAUUUAAUAAGUCAUUUUGAUUAUAGCUCUAGAUUAUGUACACAUCGCCCGUCGCUCUCGUUAAUUAAAGCGAGAUAAGUCGUAACAUAGUAGGUGUACUGGAAAGUGUACCUAGAAAUUC
Molecule: non-coding RNA, 856 nt
Filed under: Solenocera melantho
Lineage: Eukaryota; Metazoa; Arthropoda; Malacostraca; Decapoda; Solenoceridae
Description: 12S ribosomal RNA
Rfam family: Microsporidia small subunit ribosomal RNA (bases 439-849)
Source: RNAcentral